GAUGAAGAACGCAGCGAAAUGCGAUAAGUAGUGUGAAUUGCAGAAUUCCGUGAAUCAUCGAAUCUUUGAACGCACAUUGCGCCUUCUGGUAUUCCGGAAGGCAUGCCUGUUCGAGAGUCAUUAACAACCGUUUCGAUCCCUUUCUUUCAGAAAUUACAAAGAGGAAAAGGGUUUGGUUAUGGUGGAGGAGGGAAAGGGAGCGUUUAGCCUGUAAAAAAAGAGGCUGUGUUCCGCCUCCCCCCCAAAAUUGUACAGGCGGUCGUGUGCGCCCACGCAUCGAGGUGUUGUAAAAGCUGCCACGGCACUUUUCACCUGUGCAGUGCGAGAUUGGCCAGCCGGUUUAAAAACCCCUCCAAACAAUCAAAGGUUGUCCUCGGAUCAGGUAGGGAUACCCGCUGAACUUAAGCAUAUCAAUAAGCGGAGGA
Molecule: unclassified non-coding RNA, 425 nt
Filed under: soil metagenome
Description: partial contains 5.8S ribosomal RNA, internal transcribed spacer 2, and large subunit ribosomal RNA
Rfam family: 5.8S ribosomal RNA (bases 1-120)
Source: RNAcentral